This is a non-coding RNA of Paramuricea clavata, 252 nucleotides long. The record is from the annotation of a GenBank genome assembly. NCBI's taxonomy places the organism in Eukaryota, Metazoa, Cnidaria, Anthozoa, Malacalcyonacea, Plexauridae.
GAGGCCCUGGGGACAAGGAUGUGGGUGGACUUGAUCAAAUUCCCUGACUCAAGUUAAGUCUAGCUAUUGACUCGACUCGACUUAAACCAAUGACUCGACUUGAUUCGAGUGAAACUGCUGACUCGACUCGACUCGACUCGAGUGAAGCCACUGACCCGACUCGACUCGAUCAGAAACCGAAAUGACUCGACUCGUGACUCGACCUUUGAGUGACUCGACUCGUGACUCGACCUAUAGGUGACUCGUUACAAC